This 497-nucleotide ribosomal RNA is filed under the name uncultured bacterium. RNAcentral describes it as "partial 16S ribosomal RNA". It matches the Rfam family "Bacterial small subunit ribosomal RNA", at positions 28 to 507 of the family's 1533-position model. The record is from RNAcentral.
GAUGAACGCUGGCGGCGUGCCUAAUACAUGCAAGUCGAGCGAACGGACGAGAAGCUUGCUUUUCUGAUGUUAGCGGCGGACGGGUGAGUAACACGUGGAUAACCUACCUAUAAGACUGGGAUAACUUCGGGAAACCGGAGCUAAUACCGGAUAAUAUUUUGAACCGCAUGGUUCAAAAGUGAAAGACGGUCCUGCUGUCACUUAUAGAUGGAUCCGCGCUGCAUUAGCUAGUUGGUAAGGUAACGGCUUACCAAGGCAACGAUGCAUAGCCGACCUGAGAGGGUGAUCGGCCACACUGGAACUGAGACACGGUCCAGACUCCUACGGGAGGCAGCAGUAGGGAAUCUUCCGCAAUGGGCGAAAGCCUGACGGAGCAACGCCGCGUGAGUGAUGAAGGUCUUCGGAUCGUAAAACUCUGUUAUUAGGGAAGAGCAGAUGUGUAAGUAACUGUGCACAUCUUGACGGUACCUAAUCAGAAAGCCACGGCUAACUACGUG